UUAUCUAGUGCAUCUUUUGUUCUGAUUAUU
This 30-nucleotide non-coding RNA is filed under the name Mus musculus (house mouse). Lineage: Eukaryota; Metazoa; Chordata; Mammalia; Rodentia; Muridae. The record is from RNAcentral.